AUGCAUAAAGUCCCCAGCACUGAACCUAAAGCAGACAUGGAAGUUGUGGUCAGCUGCUCUGCCACAGGUAAACCAGCACCUUGGAUCCAAUGGAACCUAUCUGCAGCAGCACUCAUAAAGACACCUAACAACUGGACUGUCAUUAACAAAGACCAAACUGUCACAGCCAAUAGCAACAUCACCCUCCAACUGUUGCCAGGCUCCGGGGGAUACGUGGACUGUAUCGUAAACAAUGGGAUGAGGACACAGAGACACGAGCGGGUCCUGCUUCCUAUUCUCCCUGGAGAGAGGGAGGUUGAAGAGGAUGACAAGAGGACAUCCCCGUGGGCGGUUGGCAUUCCAGUGUUCCUAAUCGUCUCCAUUUUAGUCAUCUGCGGCAGUGUCAUGCUUCAAAAGAGAAAAGGUUACAGGCAAGCAGCAACCACAGCAGACGAGCAGGACGCUUUUGGGGAAAGUGUGUAAAUGUUUGUAAAUGUUUGUCUGUGUUGAUUGCUAUACUUGUGUACAUUAGCUGACAGAGGUUUUUAUUGAGCAUCAGAGCGCUGUUGGUAUUUAGAGUUCGGUUGCAGAAGAGCCCAGUUCCUCAAGAGAUGAGAUCCACUAACAUGUCUCAACCAGACUACUAAUCCAUCUGUAGAAUAUUACAGUAUAUUCUAAUUGUAUGACAAAGAUCAUAUUAAAUGCAUGGCGACUAGCAAGAUAGAUGAAUGAGGAUGAGACUGUGUGGGAGUCUUGGGAGCAUGAACAGUGUGCAGGCCUUCCUGUUCUUUAUUAGUAUUCUUUAUUAGCCCAGCUCCUACGUUUAGAAGGAUGUGGUUAUGACAAACAUUUCUAAUGAGACAGGUAGAUGCAAUGUGUACUAGAUAUAUUGAACCUUUUUGAGUUGACAGUCACAUUUCUUCCCCAGUCAUAUGUAAGCUAAUUUAUACCUGCCCCAUACAUUGUCACUAAUUGUCACGUAAUGUCACUAAUACUGUUUUUAUUUUAUUUUGAAAUUGCACUUUAGUUUUGAGAGAUGAGGUUUGUCAGUGAGGAAAUCUAAUAGAUUAUAUUGUAACACAGCACCACCUACAGUUGACUUUAUGACACACCAGGAAGAAGACGGGAGAAUAUAUUUGUAUUUAAUUUUACUUUAAUCCAUUUAAAUAUGGUAGCACUUGUGUCAAUGUGAGGUUUAUGCUGUUAUUAUUACAUACAGUACCUAUAGUAAUACAGAUACAGGGAUGUUUUACCUCCUUUAUAUCAAUGCAAUGUAUGAAUGUAUUUGAGCCCUGAACAUAUAAUGAUGAUAACAAUGUUUUGCACUUUGAUAGUUUGAUAUACUGUACCUUGUUCACUAGAUUGAAUUAUAUCAAGUUUUAGUUCCUGUUUGUAUUUAUUCUGAUCAUGGAUGUUGCUUGUUGUGUUUGACCCCACUUGAUGUGACAGUUUAUAAAUCAGGCUAUUAUUCCCGCUUGAUCUGUACAAUGUUUUAGAUUGUUUAAGAUUCAAAAGCAUUCUUUAAAUGUAUUGUGUUCUCCCCGUUUGAUAUAAAACUAUAUUCUGUACUUAAAAAAUCACCCAUCGUCACCUUGUUUUAUAGUAACAUUUAAAAUCAGG
Oncorhynchus kisutch (coho salmon) is the source of this 1599-nucleotide long non-coding RNA. Lineage: Eukaryota; Metazoa; Chordata; Actinopteri; Salmoniformes; Salmonidae. The record is from Ensembl.